This 501-nucleotide ribosomal RNA is filed under the name uncultured bacterium. Its description in RNAcentral is "partial 16S ribosomal RNA". It matches the Rfam family "Bacterial small subunit ribosomal RNA", at positions 30 to 523 of the family's 1533-position model. The record is from RNAcentral.
AUUGAACGCUGGCGGCAGGCUUAACACAUGCAAGUCGAGCGGGGGAAGGUAGCUUGCUACCGGACCUAGCGGCGGACGGGUGAGUAAUGCUUAGGAAUCUGCCUAUUAGUGGGGGACAACAUCUCGAAAGGGAUGCUAAUACCGCAUACGUCCUACGGGAGAAAGCAGGGGAUCUUCGGACCUUGCGCUAAUAGAUGAGCCUAAGUCGGAGUAGCUAGUUGGUGGGGUAAAGGCCGGCCAAGGCGACGGUCUGUAGCGGGUCUGAGAGGAUGAUCCGCCACACUGGGACUGAGACACGGCCCAGACUCCUACGGGAGGCAGCAGUGGGGAAUAUUGGACAAUGGGGGGAACCCUGAUCCAGCCAUGCCGCGUGUGUGAAGAAGGCCUUAUGGUUGUAAAGCACUUUAAGCGAGGAGGAGGCUACUUUAGUUAAUACCUAGAGAUAGUGGACGUUACUCGCAGAAUAAGCACCGGCUAACUCUGUGCCAGCAGCCGCGGUAA